GUCCCUGUAGCGCAAUGGAUAGCACAUUGGACUCCUAAUCUGAAGGUCGUGGGUUCGAAUCCUACCUGGGAUG
Trichonephila clavipes is the source of this 73-nucleotide non-coding RNA. NCBI's taxonomy places the organism in Eukaryota, Metazoa, Arthropoda, Arachnida, Araneae, Nephilidae. The record is from the annotation of a GenBank genome assembly.